AUCCGGCUGACGAGUCCCAAAUAGGAUGAAACGCG
Molecule: non-coding RNA, 35 nt
Filed under: Schistosoma mattheei
Lineage: Eukaryota; Metazoa; Platyhelminthes; Trematoda; Strigeidida; Schistosomatidae
Source: RNAcentral